RNAcentral lists this ribosomal RNA (291 nucleotides) under Staphylococcus aureus. RNAcentral describes it as "partial 23S ribosomal RNA". It matches the Rfam family "Bacterial large subunit ribosomal RNA", at positions 2634 to 2925 of the family's 2925-position model. The record is from RNAcentral. Lineage: Bacteria; Bacillati; Bacillota; Bacilli; Caryophanales; Staphylococcaceae.
GUCCCUAUCCGUCGUGGGCGUAGGAAAUUUGAGAGGAGCUGUCCUUAGUACGAGAGGACCGGGAUGGACAUACCUCUGGUGUACCAGUUGUCGUGCCAACGGCAUAGCUGGGUAGCUAUGUGUGGACGGGAUAAGUGCUGAAAGCAUCUAAGCAUGAAGCCCCCCUCAAGAUGAGAUUUCCCAACUUCGGUUAUAAGAUCCCUCAAAGAUGAUGAGGUUAAUAGGUUCGAGGUGGAAGCAUGGUGACAUGUGGAGCUGACGAAUACUAAUCGAUCGAAGACUUAAUCAAAA